RNAcentral lists this transfer RNA (77 nucleotides) under Candidatus Omnitrophota bacterium. RNAcentral describes it as "Candidatus Omnitrophica bacterium (sediment metagenome) tRNA-Met". It matches the Rfam family "tRNA". From Rfam's summary of the family: Transfer RNA (tRNA) molecules are approximately 80 nucleotides in length. Their secondary structure includes four short double-helical elements and three loops (D, anti-codon, and T loops). The record is from RNAcentral. Lineage: Bacteria; Pseudomonadati; Candidatus Omnitrophota.
GGCGGUGUAGCUCAGUCCGAUAGAGCAAUCGGUUCAUACCCGAUGUGUCACUGGUUUAAAUCCAGUCGCCGCCACCA